RNAcentral lists this unclassified non-coding RNA (232 nucleotides) under Helotiales sp. RNAcentral's name for it is "partial contains 5.8S ribosomal RNA, internal transcribed spacer 2, and large subunit ribosomal RNA". Lineage: Eukaryota; Fungi; Ascomycota; Leotiomycetes; Helotiales. The record is from RNAcentral.
CGCACAUUGCGCCCCUUGGUAUUCCGAGGGGCAUGCCUGUUCGAGCGUCAUUAUACCCCAUCUAGCUUGCUAGGUAUUGGGCUUCGCGGUUCGCGGGCCCUAAAAUCAGUGGCGGUGCUCCCCAGCUCUACGCGUAGUACAUUUCUCGCUCCAGGGCCGUGGGAUGCAGCAGCCAGAAUCUUUCUUUUUUAGGUUUGACCUCGGAUCAGGUAGGGAUACCCGCUGAACUUAA